GACGAACGCUGGCGGCGUGCCUAAUACAUGCAAGUUGAGCGAUGAAGAUUGGUGCUUGCACCAAUUUGAAGAGCAGCGAACGGGUGAGUAACGCGUGGGGAAUCUGCCUUUGAGCGGGGGACAACAUUUGGAAACGAAUGCUAAUACCGCAUAACAACUUUAAACAUAAGUUUUAAGUUUGAAAGAUGCACUUGCAUCACUCAAAGAUGAUCCCGCGUUGUAUUAGCUAGUUGGUGAGGUAAAGGCUCACCAAGGCGAUGAUACAUAGCCGACCUGAGAGGGUGAUCGGCCACAUGGGGACUGGGACACGGCCCAAACUCCUACGGGAGGCAGCGGUAGGGAAUCUUCGGCAAUGGACGAAAGUCUGACCGAGCAACGCCGCGUGAGUGAAGAAGGUUUUCGGAUCGUAAAACUCUGUUGGUAGAGAAGAACGUUGGUGAGAGUGGAAAGCUCAUCAAGUGACGGUAACUACCCAGAAAGGGACGGCUAACUACGUG
This 497-nucleotide ribosomal RNA is filed under the name uncultured bacterium. RNAcentral describes it as "partial 16S ribosomal RNA". It matches the Rfam family "Bacterial small subunit ribosomal RNA", at positions 28 to 507 of the family's 1533-position model. The record is from RNAcentral.